Molecule: ribosomal RNA, 1610 nt
Filed under: Synactinomyxon sp. 'type 1' EE-2004
Lineage: Eukaryota; Metazoa; Cnidaria; Myxozoa
Description: SSU rRNA
Rfam family: Eukaryotic small subunit ribosomal RNA
Source: RNAcentral
CUGCGGACGGCUCAGUAAAUCAGUUAUAAUCUGUUUGAUUGUAAAACCCAUUGGAUAACCGUGGGAAAUCUAGAGCUAAUACAUGUGAACAAUUGUGUGUGCAAACAUGCAAUGCAUUUAUUAGACAUCAACCAAUACUCAUUGUGUGGCAGUAGCAAUACUGUUGUGCAGUGUGUCAAGGUGAAUCUGGAUAACUUUGCUGAUCGUAUGGCCUUGUGCUGACGACGUUUCAAUUGAAUUUCUGCCCUAUCAACUAGUUGGUAAGGUAGUGGCUUACCAAGGUUGCAACGGGUAACGGGGAAUCAGGGUUCGAUUCCGGAGAGGGAGCCUGAGAAACGGCUACCACAUCCAAGGGAGGCAGCAGGCGCGCAAAUUACCCAAUCCAGACACUGGGAGGUGGUGACGAGAAAUACUGGAUCGUUUGUGACAAACAUGCGAUACCGGAAUGAACAUAAUUUAAGACUGUUGUCGAGAAACAAAUAGAGGGCAAGCCUGGUGCCAGCAGCCGCGGUAAUUCCAGCUCUAUUAGUGUCGUGUGACGUUGCUGCGGUUAAAACGCACGUAGUUGGAUUACGUUGUGUGAGCACGGUGCUUAAUGUGGAGUAGCGUUUAAAGCUUCAAAGUGAUUCUAUGUAUCGGAUAACGGAUGUAUAACUCAUGUUUGCAUUACGACCUUUGCAUUGGUUGCAAUGAGGUGUUGCUUUGCAUUGAAUCGAGCCGUCUCAUACUACAUGUGUCGUGAAUGUAACAUAUUGCCUUUACCGGUCGUGUGUUGUGUUUGCGGAGUGUGCCUUGAAUAAAUCAAAGUGCUUAAAGCAGGCGUAUUGCUUGAAUGUUAGUAGCAUGGAACGAACAAUUGUGAAUGCAUGAGUGCAGUGUGAUGCAUAGGUUAUGCUUAUGUGUGUGAUUGAGCUCAUGUAGCACCAACCGUUGAUAUGGAUGUUGGUUUCCGUAUUGAGGUGAGUAUUAAAACGAGCGGUUGGGGGCAUUAGUAUUUGUCCGCGAGAGGUGAAAUUCUUGGACCGGACAAGGACUGACAAAUGCGAAAGCAUCUGCCUAGACCGUUUCGAUUGAUCAAGUACGAAAGUGAGAGGUUCGAAGACGAUCAGAUACCGUCCUAGUUCUCACUGUAAACUAUGCCAACCCGGGAUCAGUUUUGAGCUAAGUGUUACCACUAUGCUCGUGGUUGGUCCCCCUGGGAAACCUUAAGUUUUUAGGUUCCGGGGGGAGUAUGGUUGCAAGGCUGAAACUUAAAGGAAUUGACGGAAGGGCACCACCAGGGGUGGAGCCUGCGGCUUAAUUUGACUCAACACGGGAAAACUCACCAGGUCAGGACAUCGAAAGGAUUGACAGAUUGAUAGCUCUUUCAUGAUACGGUGUGUGGUGGUGCAUGGCCGUUCUUAGUUCGUGGAGUGAUCUGUCAGGCUUAUCCCGGUAACGGACGAGACCAUUGUCUUCAUUUAGAGCGCCAAAGAAGGAGGAAUACUCUGAUGGCAAUGUUAGCUGUAGUUGAUGAAGAUGUUAAAGUUGGAUUUGACAUAUGGCUAGCAUUCCCUUUGGUUUGUGGAGCCUAAUGGCUUUAUGUUAUGAAGAGACAACCGUGUAUUACA